UUGGUGUCUCUCUCUGUUUUUUUUUACCUCCAUUGUUGGCUUAAACUUUAAGCUUAGAGUGGGAGUCUUUAGAGUGAAAUUUUACAAAUGUGUUGUCAAUGAAAGUCGGAGAGCUCGUCGUGAUCUUCGCAAUGGUAGUCUCGGAUUAAUGAUCGGGCAAGAUUUUCCUUCAAAAUUUGCUCUUCUUUAUUAUUUGAGGAAACAUUUUCUUGUACAAACCAGCUUGGCAGUUCCAAUUCCAGCAGCAACAAUUCCAUCAGCAACUGCAGAGCACUUUUCACAACUGUAGUUUGAAAAAUGGUUUCUGGCUUAAAGACUGGCCGGCUUCGGAAAAAGACACUCACGGGCACAAUAACAGACUUGCUGGCUGCUAUUCCUUUAGGAUCAACGGUCACUCCAUCUCCUGUUGUCCCCGUACGAUCAAAUGUGGGACCAUCUCAUCAUGCCACUUGCCCACCAUUGGUUGAU
This is a non-coding RNA of Camellia sinensis, 468 nucleotides long. The record is from RefSeq and is a predicted model, not a curated record. NCBI's taxonomy places the organism in Eukaryota, Viridiplantae, Streptophyta, Magnoliopsida, Ericales, Theaceae.